This is a non-coding RNA of Phalacrocorax carbo (great cormorant), 210 nucleotides long. The record is from Rfam. NCBI's taxonomy places the organism in Eukaryota, Metazoa, Chordata, Aves, Suliformes, Phalacrocoracidae.
AGGACUAUACUUUCAUAGGUCAUUUCUGUAGUAGGUCACUAGAGCAGGAUGAUUGCACCUGUACAGCAUCACAAGCCAUGAACAGGAGUGGGGUGUUCUCUCCUGAGCUUGAAGCAGGCGGGCGGUGCUGCCUGGGCAGGAGCUGCCCACCAUUGGUGACUGUUCCUGGCCCUCCAGGGGCUGGGAAGGAGAGAGCACAGGCUGAGUGGU